UGUUAUACCGCAUAAUAUCUGUGGAUUAAAGGUGGCUUAGGCUGCCGCAGAUGGAUGAGCCUGCGUUGGAUUAGCUAGUUGGUGGGGUAAGGGCCUACCAAGGCUACGAUCCAUAGCUGAUUUGAGAGGAUGAUCAGCCACAUUGGGACUGAGACACGGCCCAAACUCCUACGGGAGGCAGCAGUGGGGAAUAUUGGACAAUGGGGGAAACCCUGAUCCAGCAAUGCCAUGUGUGUGAAGAAGGCUCUAGGGUUGUAAAGCACUUUAGUUGGGGAGGAAAGCCUAUGAGUUAAUAGCUUGUAGGAAGGACGUUACCCAAAGAAUAAGGACCGGCUAACUCCGUGCCAGCAGCCGCGGUAAUACGGGGGGUCCGAGCGUUAAUCGGAAUUACUGGGCGUAAAGGGUCUGUAGGUGGUUUGUUAAGUCAGAUGUGAAAGCCCAGGGCUCAACCUUGGAACUGCAUUUGAUACUGGCAAACUAGAGUAUGGUAGAGGAAUGGGGAAUUUCUGGUGUAGCGGUGAAAUGCGUAGAGAUCAGAAGGAACACCAAUGGCGAAGGCAACAUUCUGGACCAAUACUGACACUGAGGGACGAAAGCGUGGGGAUCAAACAGGAUUAGAUACCCUGGUAGUCCACGCUGUAAACGAUGAGUACUAGCUGUUGGAUUCGGUGUAAAGGAUCUAGUGGCGCAGCUAACGCGUUAAGUACUCCGCCUGGGGACUACGGCCGCAAGGCUAAAACUCAAAGGAAUUGACGGGGACCCGCACAAGCGGUGGAGCAUGUGGUUUAAUUCGAUGCAACGCGAAGAACCUUACCUGGUCUUGACAUCCUGCGAACUUUCUAGAGAUAGAUUGGUGCCUUCGGGAACGCAGUGACAGGUGCUGCACGGCUGUCGUCAGCUCGUGUUGUGAAAUGUUGGGUUAAGUCCCGCAACGAGCGCAACCCCUAUUGAUAGUUACCAUCAUUAAGUUGGGUACUCUAUUGAGACUGCCGCUGACAAGGCGGAGGAAGGUGGGGACGACGUCAAGUCAUCAUGGCCCUUACGACCAGGGCUACACACGUGCUACAAUGGGUAUUACAGAGGGCUGCGAAGUGCGAGC
Molecule: ribosomal RNA, 1099 nt
Filed under: Francisella philomiragia
Lineage: Bacteria; Pseudomonadati; Pseudomonadota; Gammaproteobacteria; Thiotrichales; Francisellaceae
Description: bacterial SSU rRNA
Rfam family: Bacterial small subunit ribosomal RNA
Source: RNAcentral